UGCGGAGGAUCAUUAUCGUUGGGCUUCGGCCCAUUCGAGAUAACACCCUUGCCUUUUUGAGUACCUUUUCGUUUCCUCGGCAGGCUCGCCUGCCAACGGGGACAACUAAAACGCUUUGUAAUACCUGUAAUUGUCUGAUAUAACAAGCAAAAAAUUAAAACUUUCAACAACGGAUCUCUUGGUUCUGGCAUCGAUGAAGAACGCAGCGAAAUGCGAUAAGUAGUGUGAAUUGCAGAAUUCAGUGAAUCAUCGAAUCUUUGAACGCACAUUGCGCCCUUUGGUAUUCCUUAGGGCAUGCCUGUUCGAGCGUCAUUUAAACCUUCAAGCUCAGCUUGGUGAUGGGUGACUGUCCUCUCCUCGCGUUAGGACUCGCCCCAAAUACAUUGGCGGCCGGUACAUUGGCUUCGAGCGCAGCAGAAACGCGGUCUCGAGUCCGGUGGACUUGCUCCCAUAAGCAUCUUUUUAUUUUGACCUCGGAUCAGGUAGGGAUACCCGCUGAACUUAAGCAUAUCAAUAAGCGGAGGAAAAGAAACCAACAGGGAUUGCCCUAGUAACGGCGAGUGAAGCGGCAAUAGCUCAAAUUUGAAAUCUGGCCCUUUCAGGGUCCGAGUUGUAAUUUGUAGAGGGUGCUUUGGCGUUGGCUGUGGUCUAAGUUCCUUGGAACAGGACGUCGCAGAGGGUGAGAAUCCCGUAUGUGGCCGCCAGUCUUCGCCGUGUAAAGCCCCUUCGACGAGUCGAGUUGUUUGGGAAUGCAGCUCUAAAUGGGAGGUAAAUUUCUUCUAAAGCUAAAUAUUGGCCAGAGACCGAUAGCGCACAAGUAGAGUGAUCGAAAGAUGAAAAGCACUUUGGAAAGAGAGUCAAAAAGCACGUGAAAUUGUUGAAAGGGAAGCGCUUGCAGCCAGACUUGCCUGUAGUUGCUCAUCCGGGCUUUUGCCCGGUGCACUCUUCUAUGGGCAGGCCAGCAUCAGUCCCGGCGGUUGGAUAAAUGCCUGUUGAAUGUACCACUCUUCGGGGUGGACUUAUAGCCUCGGGCGGCAUACAACCAGCUGGGAUUGAGGUCCGCGCAUCU
This 1069-nucleotide ribosomal RNA is filed under the name Dothideomycetes sp. 11133. RNAcentral's name for it is "eukaryotic LSU rRNA". The stretch from base 469 to 1069 matches the Rfam family "Eukaryotic large subunit ribosomal RNA", at positions 1 to 606 of the family's 3401-position model. The record is from RNAcentral. Lineage: Eukaryota; Fungi; Ascomycota; Dothideomycetes.